This 467-nucleotide ribosomal RNA is filed under the name uncultured bacterium. RNAcentral describes it as "partial 16S ribosomal RNA". It matches the Rfam family "Bacterial small subunit ribosomal RNA", at positions 28 to 506 of the family's 1533-position model. The record is from RNAcentral.
GACGAACGCUGGCGGCGUGCUUAACACAUGCAAGUCGAACGGAAAGGCCCUGCUUUUGUGGGGUGCUCGAGUGGCGAACGGGUGAGUAACACGUGAGUAACCUGCCCUUGACUUUGGGAUAACUUCAGGAAACUGGGGCUAAUACCGGAUAGGAGCUCCUGCUGCAUGGUGGGGGUUGGAAAGUUUCGGCGGUUGGGGAUGGACUCGCGGCUUAUCAGCUUGUUGGUGGGGUAGUGGCUUACCAAGGCUUUGACGGGUAGCCGGCCUGAGAGGGUGACCGGCCACAUUGGGACUGGGAUACGGCCGAGACGACUACGGGAGGCAGCAGUGGGGAAUAUUGCACAAGGGGCGGAAGCCUGAUGCAGCAACGCGGCGUGCGGGAUGCCGGCCUUCGGGUUGUAAACCGCUUUCGCUUGGAACGAAGCGUAGGUAACGGAAAUGGGUAAAGAAGCACCGGCUAAUUACGU